This 452-nucleotide ribosomal RNA is filed under the name uncultured soil bacterium. Its description in RNAcentral is "bacterial SSU rRNA". It matches the Rfam family "Bacterial small subunit ribosomal RNA", at positions 26 to 518 of the family's 1533-position model. The record is from RNAcentral.
AGAACGAACGCUGGCGGCAUGCCUAACACAUGCAAGUCGAACGAGACCCCAACUUCGGUUGGACGUCUAGUGGCGCACGGGUGCGUAACGCGUGGGAAUCUGCCCUUCGGUUCGGAAUAACUCGGAGAAAUCCGUGCUAAUACCGGAUAAUGACGUAAGUCCAAAGAUUUAUCGCCGAGGGAUGAGCCCGCGUAGGAUUAGCUUGUUGGUGAGGUAAAGGCUCACCAAGGCGACGAUCCUUAGCUGGUCUGAGAGGAUGAUCAGCCACACUGGGACUGAGACACGGCCCAGACUCCUACGGGAGGCAGCAGUGGGAAUAUGGACAAUGGGCGAAAGCCUGAUCCAGCAAUGCCGCGUGAGUGAUGAAGCCUUAGGGUGUAAAGCUCUUUUACCCGGGAUGAUAAUGACAGUACCGGAGAAUAAGCUCCGGCUAACUCCGUGCCAGUAGCCGC